This 270-nucleotide ribosomal RNA is filed under the name Triticum aestivum (bread wheat). Its description in RNAcentral is "partial small subunit ribosomal RNA". The record is from RNAcentral. Lineage: Eukaryota; Viridiplantae; Streptophyta; Magnoliopsida; Poales; Poaceae.
AUGCCCAUUGCACAGCUUGAGAAAAGGCUCCUCUAACAGUAGAUGGGUGUUGUAGGAGAGGGCGAACAGGUUACAGAGGAGGCAAUUUUACGUUUUGUGUCCCUGUUUGAGGGAAGGCUGCUAGACAUAACGAUCGCGGUGCUACGUGCCCUGUUCAAGCUGGACUGUGACUUGGCGGCGGCGGUGGAGGAUGCCUUGCUGCAACAUGGGGGAGAAGGUUGCCCCGAGAUGCCAUCCGCCGCAGGCGAGGAUGCCUUGGAGACGACCUGA